RNAcentral lists this ribosomal RNA (252 nucleotides) under uncultured bacterium. RNAcentral's name for it is "partial 16S ribosomal RNA". It matches the Rfam family "Bacterial small subunit ribosomal RNA", at positions 524 to 776 of the family's 1533-position model. The record is from RNAcentral.
UACGGAGGAUGCGAGCGUUAUCCGGAUUUAUUGGGUUUAAAGGGUGCGUAGGCGGAGUGUCAAGUCAGCGGUAAAAUUUCGGGGCUCAACCCUGUCGUGCCGUUGAAACUGACGCCCUUGAGUGAGUGAGAAGUAAGCGGAAUGCGUGGUGUAGCGGUGAAAUGCAUAGAUAUCACGCAGAACGCCGAUUGCGAAGGCAGCUUACCGGCGCUCAACUGACGCUGAGGCACGAAAGUGCGGGUAUCGAACAGG